CAAUAGCGUAUAUUAAAGUUGUUGCAGUUAAAAGCUCGUAGUUGGAUUUCUGGCUCGCUGCGCCUGGCCCGCCCGCGUUAGCGGUGUGAGUGCCGGUUGCGCGGUAGCCAUCCUUCUGGAGAACGGGCCUGCCCUUCAUUGGGUGGGGUCCGCGACCCAGAUCGUUUACUUUGAAAAAUUAGAGUGUUCAAAGCAGGCAAUCGCUUGAAUACAUUAGCAUGGAAUAAUAGAAUAGGACUUUGGUUCUAUUUUGUUGGUUUCUAGGACCGAAGUAAUGAUUAAUAGGGACAGUUGGGGGCAUUAGUAUUUAAUUGUCAGAGGUGAAAUUCUUGGAUUUAUGAAAGACUAACUACUGCGAAAGCAUUUGCCAAGGAUGUUUUCAUUAAUCAAGAACGAAAGUUAGGGGAUCGAAGACGAUUAGAUACCAU
Molecule: ribosomal RNA, 428 nt
Filed under: uncultured eukaryote
Lineage: Eukaryota
Description: bacterial SSU rRNA
Rfam family: Eukaryotic small subunit ribosomal RNA
Source: RNAcentral